GGAGAGGUGGCCGAGCGGCUGAUGGCGCUGGUCUUGAAAACCAGUAUGGACUUUCAGUCCAUCGGGGGUUCAAAUCCCUCCCUCUCCG
Molecule: transfer RNA, 88 nt
Filed under: Elusimicrobiota bacterium
Lineage: Bacteria; Pseudomonadati; Elusimicrobiota
Description: tRNA-Ser
Rfam family: tRNA
About the family: Transfer RNA (tRNA) molecules are approximately 80 nucleotides in length. Their secondary structure includes four short double-helical elements and three loops (D, anti-codon, and T loops). Further hydrogen bonds mediate the characteristic L-shaped molecular structure. tRNAs have two regions of fundamental functional importance: the anti-codon, which is responsible for specific mRNA codon recognition, and the 3' end, to which the tRNAs corresponding amino acid is attached (by aminoacyl-tRNA synthetases). tRNAs cope with the degeneracy of the genetic code in two manners: having more than one tRNA (with a specific anti-codon) for a particular amino acid; and 'wobble' base-pairing, i.e. permitting non-standard base-pairing at the 3rd anti-codon position.
Source: RNAcentral